GUGUCAGCAGCCGCGGUAAUACAGAGACUGCAAGCGUUAUUCGGAUUCACUGGGCGUAAAGGGUGCGCAGGCCGCCGUGUGUGUGAGGUGUGAAAUCCCGGAGCUUAACUCCGGAACUGCGCCUCAAACUACACGGCUAGAGCAUUGGAGAGGGAAGUGGAAUUCACGGUGUAGCAGUGAAAUGCGUAGAUAUCGUGAGGAACACCAGAGGCGAAGGCGACUUCCUGGACAAUUGCUGACGCUCAGGCACGAAAGCGUGGGGAGCAAAAGGGAUUAGAAACCCUCGUAGUCC
This 292-nucleotide ribosomal RNA is filed under the name uncultured bacterium. RNAcentral describes it as "partial 16S ribosomal RNA". It matches the Rfam family "Bacterial small subunit ribosomal RNA", at positions 505 to 796 of the family's 1533-position model. The record is from RNAcentral.